Molecule: ribosomal RNA, 506 nt
Filed under: uncultured bacterium
Lineage: Bacteria
Description: partial 16S ribosomal RNA
Rfam family: Bacterial small subunit ribosomal RNA
Source: RNAcentral
AGUGAACGCUGGCGGUAGGCCUAACACAUGCAAGUCGAACGGCAGCACAGAGGAGCUUGCUCCUUGGGUGGCGAGUGGCGGACGGGUGAGGAAUACAUCGGAAUCUACUCUGUCGGGGGGGAUAACAUAGGGAAACUUACGCUAAUACCGCAUACGACCUACGGGUGAAAGCAGGGGAGCUUCGACCCUUGCGGGAUUGAAUGAGCCGGUGUCGGAUUAGCUAGUUGGCGGGGUAAAGGCCCACCAAGGCGACGAUCCGUAGCCGGUCUGAGAGGAUGAUCAGCCACACUGGAACUGAGACACGGUCCAGACUCCUACGGGAGGCAGCAGUGGGGAAUAUUGGACAAUGGGCGCAAGCCUGAUCCAGCCAUACCGCGUGGGUGAAGAAGGCCUUCGGGUUGUAAAGCCCUUUUGUUGGGAAAGAAAUCCAGCUGGCUAAUACCCGGUUGGGAUGACGGUACCCAAAGAAUAAGCACCGGCUAACUUCGUGCCAGCCGCCGCCGUAA